Molecule: ribosomal RNA, 406 nt
Filed under: uncultured bacterium
Lineage: Bacteria
Description: partial 16S ribosomal RNA
Rfam family: Bacterial small subunit ribosomal RNA
Source: RNAcentral
AUUGAACGCUGGCGGCAGGCCUAACACAUGCAAGUCGAACGAGUGGCGGACGGGUGAGUAAUGUCUGGGAAACUGCCUGAUGGAGGGGGAUACCUCCUGGAAACGGUAGCUAAUACCGCAUACCAUCGGAUGUGCCCAGAGGGGAUUAGCUAGUAGGUGGGGUAACGGCUCACCUAGGCGACGAUCCCUAGCUGGUCUGCGAGGAUGACCAGCCACACUGGAACUGAGACACGGUCCAGACUCCUACGGGAGGCAGCAGUGGGGAAUAGUGCACAAUGGGCGCAAGCCUGAUGCAGCCAUGCCGCGUGUGUGAAGAAGGCCUUCGGGUUGUAAAGCACUUUCAGCGGGGAGGCGUUACCCGCAGAAGAAGCACCGGCUAACUCCGUGCCAGCAGCCGCGGUAAUUC